GACAAACGCUGGCGGCGUACCUAAGACAUGCAAGUCGAACGGGUGCGGCGCCCUUCGGGCGCCGGACGAGUGGCGGACGGGUGAGUAACGCGUAGGAACCUAUCGCACAGUGGGGGAGUACCACGGGGAAACCGGGUAGUUAAUACCGCAUGGGGUCGAGCGAUGACCAAAGACAGCAAUGCGCUGUGUGCGGGGCCGUGCGUCCGAUUAGCUAGUUGGUGGGGGUAAGGGGCCGUACCAAGGCGACGAUCGGAGCUGGUCUGAGAGGAUGGUCAGCCACACUGGGACUGAGACACGGCCC
This 301-nucleotide ribosomal RNA is filed under the name uncultured bacterium. RNAcentral describes it as "bacterial SSU rRNA". It matches the Rfam family "Bacterial small subunit ribosomal RNA", at positions 28 to 332 of the family's 1533-position model. The record is from RNAcentral.